Molecule: non-coding RNA, 21 nt
Filed under: Arabidopsis thaliana (thale cress)
Lineage: Eukaryota; Viridiplantae; Streptophyta; Magnoliopsida; Brassicales; Brassicaceae
Source: RNAcentral
GCAUAAGUAAGUGUCAAAGAA